This 465-nucleotide ribosomal RNA is filed under the name uncultured bacterium. Its description in RNAcentral is "partial 16S ribosomal RNA". It matches the Rfam family "Bacterial small subunit ribosomal RNA", at positions 338 to 795 of the family's 1533-position model. The record is from RNAcentral.
CCUACGGGAGGCAGCAGUAGGGAAUCUUCCACAAUGGACGAAAGUCUGAUGGAGCAACGCCGCGUGAGUGAAGAAGGGUUUCGGCUCGUAAAGCUCUGUUGGCAGUGAAGAACGAUCGAGGUAGUAACUAGCCGUUAUUUGACGGUAAUUACUUAGAAAGUCACGGCUAACUACGUGCCAGCAGCCGCGGUAAUACGUAGGUGGCGAGCGUUGUCCGGAUUUAUUGGGCGUAAAGCGAGUGCAGGCGGUUCAAUAAGUCUGAUGUGAAAGCCUUCGGCUCAACGGGAGAAUUGCAUCAGAAACUGUUGAACUUGAGUGCAGAAGAGGAGAGUGGAAUUCCAUGUGUAGGGGUGGAAUGCGUAGAUAUAUGGAGGAACACCAGUGGCGAAGGCGGCUAUCUGGUCUGCAACUGACGCUGAGGCGCGAAAGCAUGGGUAGCGAACAGGAUUAGAUACCCGGGUAGUC